GCUUGGUAUUAAGGGCUCAGUUGGUACAUCAUGAGACUCUUAAUCUUAGGAUCAUGAGUUCAAGCCCUACAUUGGGCA
Molecule: non-coding RNA, 78 nt
Organism: Podarcis lilfordi (Lilford's wall lizard)
Lineage: Eukaryota; Metazoa; Chordata; Lepidosauria; Squamata; Lacertidae
Source: the annotation of a GenBank genome assembly